Non-coding RNA from Cinara cedri, 226 nucleotides. Lineage: Eukaryota; Metazoa; Arthropoda; Insecta; Hemiptera; Aphididae. The record is from the annotation of a GenBank genome assembly.
AAAAAGGUAUCGUGUGAUUUUUCGAUUUAAUCAUUUAUUCUGUUAGAAAAAAUCGUCCGUGUUUUUAUUAUAAAUUAUGAAAUCGUGAAAUUGUAUGUUUUCCUACGUUUUCUCCCACUUAAGUGCUUUUAUUUAAAAAAUAGCGUCGAAAACCAAAAUAUGACCUGUUUAUAGUACAAUCAAGACAACUUGAGAUUUCAGAAAAGUUGCGACACGUAAAACUCGG